GACGAACGCUGGCGGCGUGCUUAACACAUGCAAGUCGAACGGAAAGGCCUUUUCGGAGGUACUCGAGUGGCGAACGGGUGAGUAACACGUGGGUGAUCUGCCCUGCACUCUGGGAGAAGCCUGGGCAACUGGGUCUAAUACCGGAUAGGACCGCACUUUAGUGGGUGUGGUGGCAAGUUUUUUCGGUGUAGGAUGAGCCCGCGGCCUAUCAGCUUGUUGGUGGGGGAAUGGCCUACCAAGGCGGCGACGGGUAGCCGGACUGAGAGGUUGGUCGGCCACAUUGGGACUGAGAUACGGCCCAGACUCCUACGGGAGGCAGCAGUGGGGAAUAUUGCACAAUGGGCGCAAGCCUGAUGCAGCGACGCCGCGUGGGGGAUGACGGCCUUCGGGUUGUAAACUCCUUUCGCCAGGGACGAAGCGUUUUGUGACGGUACCUGGAGAAGAAGCACCGGCUAACUACGUG
This 463-nucleotide ribosomal RNA is filed under the name uncultured bacterium. Its description in RNAcentral is "partial 16S ribosomal RNA". It matches the Rfam family "Bacterial small subunit ribosomal RNA", at positions 28 to 507 of the family's 1533-position model. The record is from RNAcentral.